RNAcentral lists this ribosomal RNA (394 nucleotides) under uncultured bacterium. RNAcentral describes it as "bacterial SSU rRNA". It matches the Rfam family "Bacterial small subunit ribosomal RNA", at positions 28 to 423 of the family's 1533-position model. The record is from RNAcentral.
GACGAACGCUGGCGGCGUGCUUAACACAUGCAAGUCGAGCGGUAAGGCCCUUUCGGGGGUACACGAGCGGCGAACGGGUGAGUAACACGUGGGUGACCUGCCCUCAGCUCUGGGAUAAGCCUGGGAAGCCGGGUCUAAUACCGGAUAUGACUCCAUGACGCAUGUUGUGGGGUGGAAAGCCUUGUGCGGCUGAGGAUGGGCCCGCGGCCUAUCAGCUUGUUGGUGGGGUGANGGCCUACCAAGGCGACGACGGGUAGCCGGCCUGAGAGGGCGACCGGCCACACUGGGACUGAGACACGGCCCAGACUCCUACGGGAGGCAGCAGUGGGGAAUCUUGCGCAAUGGGCGAAAGCCUGACGCAGCGACGCCGCGUGAGGGAUGACGGCCUCGGUGU